AUGAAGGCCGGGAGGAAGAACCUGCGGCGCGCGUCGCAGGAGGGCACCGCCGUCACGCUCGCGGAGAACGAGAGCAUCAUGCAGGUCGUCACGCUGCGUGGCUCCAACCUCAUCGAGGUCACAGACGGCGAGGGCGUCAAGUCUCUCGCCCUGAUCCCCGCCAAGUUCCAAAAGUGUUUCUGGAUCAAGAACGGGAAUUUCGUGGUUGUUGAUGCUAGUGGGAGGGACGAGGCUCUAGAAUCUGGAAGCAAGAUAGCCUGCGUCGUGUCGCGAGUCCUCUUUCAUGACCAAGUUCGUGCGCUCCAGAAAUCUGGCGAAUGGUGA
Molecule: ribosomal RNA, 324 nt
Filed under: Triticum aestivum (bread wheat)
Lineage: Eukaryota; Viridiplantae; Streptophyta; Magnoliopsida; Poales; Poaceae
Description: partial small subunit ribosomal RNA
Source: RNAcentral